UACGGAGGGUGCAAGCGUUAUCCGGAUUCACUGGGUUUAAAGGGUGCGUAGGCGGCCAGGCAAGUCAGUGGUGAAAUCUCUGGGCUUAACCCAGAAACUGCCGUUGAUACUAUUUGUCUUGAAUAUCCUGGAGGUAGGCGGAAUAUGUCAUGUAGCGGUGAAAUGCUUAGAUAUGACAUAGAACACCGAUAGCGAAGGCAGCUUACUACAGGAUGAUUGACGCUGAGGCACGAAAGCGUGGGGAGCAAACAGG
This 253-nucleotide ribosomal RNA is filed under the name uncultured bacterium. RNAcentral's name for it is "partial 16S ribosomal RNA". It matches the Rfam family "Bacterial small subunit ribosomal RNA", at positions 524 to 776 of the family's 1533-position model. The record is from RNAcentral.